AGGGUUUGAUCAUGGCUCAGAUUGAACGCUGGCGGCAGGCCUAACACAUGCAAGUCGAGCGGUAGAGAGAAGCUUGCUUCUCUUGAGAGCGGCGGACGGGUGAGUAAUGCCUAGGAAUCUGCCUGGUAGUGGGGGAUAACGUUCGGAAACGGACGCUAAUACCGCAUACGUCCUACGGGAGAAAGCAGGGGACCUUCGGGCCUUGCGCUAUCAGAUGAGCCUAGGUCGGAUUAGCUAGUUGGUGAGGUAAUGGCUCACCAAGGCGACGAUCCGUAACUGGUCUGAGAGGAUGAUCAGUCACACUGGAACUGAGACACGGUCCAGACUCCUACGGGAGGCAGCAGUGGGGAAUAUUGGACAAUGGGCGAAAGCCUGAUCCAGCCAUGCCGCGUGUGUGAAGAAGGUCUUCGGAUUGUAAAGCACUUUAAGUUGGGAGGAAGGGCAGUAAAUUAAUACUUUGCUGUUUUGACGUUACCGACAGAAUAAGCACCGGCUAACUCUGUGCCAGCAGCCGCGGUAAUACAGAGGGUGCAAGCGUUAAUCGGAAUUACUGGGCGUAAAGCGCGCGUAGGUGGUUUGUUAAGUUGGAUGUGAAAUCCCCGGGCUCAACCUGGGAACUGCAUUCAAAACUGACUGACUAGAGUAUGGUAGAGGGUGGUGGAAUUUCCUGUGUAGCGGUGAAAUGCGUAGAUAUAGGAAGGAACACCAGUGGCGAAGGCGACCACCUGGACUAAUACUGACACUGAGGUGCGAAAGCGUGGGGAGCAAACAGGAUUAGAUACCCUGGUAGUCCACGCCGUAAACGAUGUCAACUAGCCGUUGGAAGCCUUGAGCUUUUAGUGGCGCAGCUAACGCAUUAAGUUG
Molecule: ribosomal RNA, 864 nt
Filed under: uncultured Gammaproteobacteria bacterium
Lineage: Bacteria; Pseudomonadati; Pseudomonadota; Gammaproteobacteria
Description: bacterial SSU rRNA
Rfam family: Bacterial small subunit ribosomal RNA
Source: RNAcentral